AGCCAGGACUCAUGCGAACGGACGCCGCCCAACCCCGCCAGGCCCGGAAGGGAACAACGGUAAGCGGAAGUCUGUUGCGCCGUGAUCAUCCUGGUUUCG
RNAcentral lists this signal recognition particle RNA (99 nucleotides) under Treponema sp. Its description in RNAcentral is "signal recognition particle sRNA small type". It matches the Rfam family "Bacterial small signal recognition particle RNA". Rfam says of the family: The signal recognition particle (SRP) is a universally conserved ribonucleoprotein involved in the co-translational targeting of proteins to membranes. Archaeal SRP consists of a 7S RNA and homologues of the eukaryotic SRP19 and SRP54 proteins. Lineage: Bacteria; Pseudomonadati; Spirochaetota; Spirochaetia; Treponematales; Treponemataceae. The record is from RNAcentral.